This 20-nucleotide non-coding RNA is filed under the name Mus musculus (house mouse). Lineage: Eukaryota; Metazoa; Chordata; Mammalia; Rodentia; Muridae. The record is from RNAcentral. RNAcentral also lists the same sequence under 1 other name.
UAGAUGAGUGGAAAGGUGCU